AACCCUGACGCAGCAACNCCGCGUGAGUGAAGAAGGCCUUUGGGUNGUAAAGCUCUGUCAACAAGGAAGAAAUUAGGAUCUAUUAAUAGUNGGUUCUAUUGACGGUACUUGUGGANGAAGCNCCGGCUAACUCCGUNCCAGCAGCCGCGGUAACACGGGGGGCGCAAGCGUUAUUUGGAAUUAUUGGGCGUAAAGGGCGCGCAGGCGGUCUUGUCCGUCAGGUGUGAAAGCCCGGGGCUCAACCCCGGAAGUGCACUUGAAACAGCAAGACUUGAAUACNGGAGAGGAGAGAGGAAUUCCUGGUGUAGAGGUGAAAUUCGUAGAUAUCAGGAGGAACACCGAUGGCGAAGGCAUCUCUNUGGACCGAUAUUGACGCUGAGGCGCGAAGGCGUGGGUAGCNAACNGGAUUAGAUACC
This 416-nucleotide ribosomal RNA is filed under the name uncultured Bacteroidota bacterium. RNAcentral's name for it is "uncultured Bacteroidetes bacterium partial 16S ribosomal RNA". It matches the Rfam family "Bacterial small subunit ribosomal RNA", at positions 379 to 786 of the family's 1533-position model. Lineage: Bacteria; Pseudomonadati; Bacteroidota. The record is from RNAcentral. RNAcentral also lists the same sequence under 1 other name.